This 490-nucleotide ribosomal RNA is filed under the name uncultured bacterium. RNAcentral's name for it is "partial 16S ribosomal RNA". It matches the Rfam family "Bacterial small subunit ribosomal RNA", at positions 30 to 507 of the family's 1533-position model. The record is from RNAcentral.
AUUGAACGCUGGCGGCAGGCCUAACACAUGCAAGUCGAACGGUAACAGGAAGAAGCUUGCUUCUUUGCUGACGAGUGGCGGACGGGUGAGUAAUGUCUGGGAAACUGCCUGAUGGAGGGGGAUAACUACUGGAAACGGUAGCUAAUACCGCAUAACGUCGCAAGACCAAAGAGGGGGACCUUCGGGCCUCUUGCCAUCGGAUGUGCCCAGAUGGGAUUAGCUAGUAGGUGGGGUAACGGCUCACCUAGGCGACGAUCCCUAGCUGGUCUGAGAGGAUGACCGGCCACACUGGAACUGAGACACGGUCCAGACUCCUACGGGAGGCAGCAGUGGGGAAUAUUGCACAAUGGGCGCAAGCCUGAUGCAGCCAUGCCGCGUGUAUGAAGAAGGCCUUCGGGUUGUAAAGUACUUUCAGCGGGGAGGAAGGGAGUAAAGUUAAUACCUUUGCUCAUUGACGUUACCCGCAAAAGAAGCACCGGCUAACUCCGUG